RNAcentral lists this long non-coding RNA (2467 nucleotides) under Homo sapiens (human). RNAcentral's name for it is "HSALNT0084196". The record is from RNAcentral. Lineage: Eukaryota; Metazoa; Chordata; Mammalia; Primates; Hominidae.
UUCACUCUGGACAGACGGCACAAGCCCCUGGGAAGCACCCAGCCUUCUCUGCACCUGUGUAAUGGUAAACAAAAGGCCUGACUUCUGAGCAGCGAUUUUCAAUUAACAAUGCAUCAGAUUUCACUCUAUCCCAGCACCCCACUGAAACCUCCAGUGCAGAUAUUUUAAUAAAAUAAGACACACAAGAAUAGGGAAAAUGAGAGACAAAAACCAACAAACAAAAACAUGGGAGCAGAAGAAGAAAUUGAUUAUGUGAUAGCUGGCUUUAAAACCUGAGAAGACCAAAUCUUGACCUUGCAGUGAGAAUACAGAGGAUUCUUCAAACAAGCCAGGAAUUUUUGACCUUGCAGUGAGAAUACAGAGGAUUCUUCAAACAAGGCAGGAAUGCCCAUUCGACUUUCCCCAAUGGCUCUGCAUAAGAGGAACCAACAGAGAUCCUUUCCUGAGACCUAAGGAGGCAAAAGCUAGGUGGCAACCAAAGAUUUCAGAGGAGGAAGCAGGUAUGGUGCAGAGGAGAGCUGGCUGUGCUGAAGGGGCCAGACACAGGGGCCACCGGAAUAGAAGCUUCUCAAAGGUGGCAAAGAUGCUUUUUAUGCUUGUUGCCACCACCCAGAAUGAUGUUAACCAUGAGGGAAGCGUCUGGCAGCACACUCAAUGUCCAAUGCCCACUGGGCUGACCCAGAAGCAAAUUUUGUGUCAGCUCCUCCAGCCCACCAUGGAUCAUCCUGGGAGCUGUCUUCAGAUGGUAAUUAUUCUCAGCUGAAGCCAUGGCCCCAUUAAAGACAGAACACUGGAGAUGAAAAGUCCCAGAUUCCAUUAGCAGUCUCUACUUCAGACAUGAACUAUGGGACUUGAUGCCUCUGAUGUGUCUCUUCAUGUUGCUUCCACAGGCUUAAUGAUGCCUUUAGCAUCUCUCACCUGAAAGUAUCGCUCAUUAUGUCACUGAGAUGCACGGCCAUAUUUCAGUUAAUUAAGUUCAUUUGCUAGUUUAUAAAGGAAACACAAUUAAUAAAAUAAGUCAAGCAUGUCUUACUUUUUUCAGGUCAACAUUGAAAUGAGAACUAUUUUGACUAAUCUGCUCGGAAUAAAAUGAGAAAAACAGUUCAUGCUGAACUACUCAUAUGUGGAGGUGAUGAACAUAUGUUUCUAAUUUUGAGCUGAGAGAAAAGCAAAAAUAAACAAAUUUAACAAAUCUUAGUUCUUGACAACCACUCACAGAAUAGUUCAGCUAAGAAAUAAACAUAUGGUUCAGGGAAUAAAGAAACUGCCUGGCUCGGUGUGGAAAUGACACUUCUAGACUCAGAGUUUCAUGACUGCAGUGAGCUCAUUUCUUCUGUAAUUAGGGUCAAGACUUGAACUUUUCCUGUGGAUUUUCCCAUCAGAAGACUGGUGCCAUUUAUCCAUUUAGGUGAGCACUAUAAGGACAUUGCUUCAUAUCACGCUUCAAGAGUGAUGAGUUUCACAAGGAGAUUGCAUGUCUCCUCAGAGCUGGCCCGUCUGUAUGUGAUCAGGUGGGAGAAUUUGCUUCAGUAAGUGGAGUGUGAUGGGACAGGGGUGUUAAGUGCCCCCUGAGGAAGUGUUGGCUCUAAGAAGAGAAGAAGUUUGGCCAUGAUGAUGCUUGGCCUCUUUUCCAGCCAUGUCUCAGUCAACCCUAGCUGCUGGGAAAAUUAUCACCGACUGGUAAACAGCAAACAUUUAUUUCUCGCAGUUCCGGAGACUGGAAGUCUGAGAUCAGAGUGCCAGCGUGGUCAGCUUCUGGUGAAGCCCCUCUUGUGCCCCACAUGGCAGUGAGAAAGUGAGCUGGCUCCAGGUCCUCUUUUCGUAAGGGCACUCAUCCACUUAUGAGGCUCCACUCUCAUGACCUAAUUACCUCCCAAAGGCCCCACCUCCAAGUAUGAUCACAUGGGGGACUCGAUUUCAACAUAUGAGUUUUGGGGGACACAAACUUUUAGUCUGCAACAAGACAGGAUUGUCUUACUAUGAUCAGACUGUGGGUGAUUUACUUCGUUUCUUGACACAUCUGUUUUUAUUCUUAAGCCUGUAUACAUAGAUAGUACUUACUGUUUUACAAGAAUCCAGUUUUUCCUUGCAUGGUAAUUUAUUUUUAAAAGCACUGUUUUAAGGUUUCUGUGAUGAGCUAAAGGCAUCUAACUGAAUCCAGAAUAUACUGUCAACUUUAGUGUCUCAGGUCGUGUAUUGUGAAGGAAAAGGUGCCACACGCUUGACACUGGUCUUGGUGCAACCUCAAUCGCAACAUGUGAAUCCCAAGGGAGUUUCUUCCUCUCCAAAAGCCUCUGCUUCCCCAUCUUUUUUUUUUUUUUUUUCUGAGACAGAGUCUCGCUGUGUCACCCAGGCUGGAGUGCAGUGGCGCAAUCUCGUCUUGCUGCAACCUCCAUCUCCUAGGUUCAAGUGAUUCUCCUGCCUCAGCCUCCUGAGUAGAUGGGGUUACAGGUGCGUGCCACCAUGC